RNAcentral lists this unclassified non-coding RNA (341 nucleotides) under fungal sp. RNAcentral describes it as "partial internal transcribed spacer region". The stretch from base 1 to 46 matches the Rfam family "Eukaryotic small subunit ribosomal RNA", at positions 1786 to 1831 of the family's 1831-position model. Lineage: Eukaryota; Fungi. The record is from RNAcentral.
AAGUCGUAACAAGGUUUCCGUAGGUGAACCUGCGGAAGGAUCAUUAACACGUAUCCACGUUUAUCUACCUACCGCGAACUGUUUUCACCCUCUCCCUCUUACCUGCACAAUGAAUUGAACCGCUGCGCGGCCAACUGAUCUGGGAGAAAUCCCGGUCGACAAUUGGAUGUGUUGUUUGUAACGAGGACAAACAAACCCAUAAAUUAAAACCUAUUUCACCCCCCCUUUUUGCUAGUUGACUUUUUAAUAUGUUGUUCCUCUUCCUCACCGGAGUGGUUCACACGUUUAAAUUAUUUGAACGUUAAAAAAUACAACUCUUAGCAAUGGAUAUCUUGGUUCUC